GAUGAACGCUGGCGGCGUGCUUAAUACAUGCAAGUCGAGCGAUCAAACGAAGCUUUCUGUGCGCUUUCGUUACGAACGGAUGAGUAACAAGUACGUAACCAACCCUCAAAUCAGGCAUAAGUAAGGUAAGCAAGCCCUAAUAAAGGCUGGGAGAGUUCAUCGCCUGGUGGGUGUUGUAAUGAUAUAUCGGUUUUGGAUGGACUCUCGGCUGAUCAGCGUGUUGGUGAGGAAAUGGCUAACCAAGGCGACGACGGGUAGCCGGCCUGGGAGGGUGACCGGCCACACUGGGACUGAGACACGGCCCAGACUCCUACGGGAGGCAGCAGUGGGGAAUAUUGCACAAUGGGCGAAAGCCUGAUGCAGCGACGCCGCGUGAGGGAUGACGGCCUUCGGGUUGUAAACCUCUUUCAGUAGGGAAGAAGCGAAAGUGACGGUACCUGCAGAAGAAGCACCGGCUAACUACGUG
Molecule: ribosomal RNA, 466 nt
Filed under: uncultured bacterium
Lineage: Bacteria
Description: partial 16S ribosomal RNA
Rfam family: Bacterial small subunit ribosomal RNA
Source: RNAcentral